This 325-nucleotide ribosomal RNA is filed under the name uncultured eukaryote. RNAcentral's name for it is "partial 18S ribosomal RNA". It matches the Rfam family "Eukaryotic small subunit ribosomal RNA", at positions 1470 to 1796 of the family's 1831-position model. The record is from RNAcentral.
CCCUUAGAUGUCCUGGGCCGCACGCGCGCUACACUGAUGCAUUCAACGAGUAUUUCCUUGGCCGAGAGGCCUGGGCAAUCUUUUAAACCUGCAUCGUGAUAGGGAUAGAUUAUUGCAAUUAUUAAUCUUGAACGAGGAAUUCCUAGUAAACGCAAAUCAUCAAUUUGCAUUGAUUACGUCCCUGCCCUUUGUACACACCGCCCGUCGAACCUACCGAUUGAAUGGUCCGGUGAAAUCUCGGGAUUGUGGCCAGUUCACUUUAUUGGGAGUUGGCUGCGAGAACUUGCUUAAACCUUAUCAUUUAGAGGAAGGUGAAGUCGUAACA